AUAUCAUCCAACAACACAUUCA
Molecule: microRNA, 22 nt
Filed under: Ananas comosus (pineapple)
Lineage: Eukaryota; Viridiplantae; Streptophyta; Magnoliopsida; Poales; Bromeliaceae
Description: microRNA s0626_c84a
Source: RNAcentral